Molecule: ribosomal RNA, 253 nt
Filed under: uncultured bacterium
Lineage: Bacteria
Description: partial 16S ribosomal RNA
Rfam family: Bacterial small subunit ribosomal RNA
Source: RNAcentral
UACGUAGGGGGCAAGCGUUAUCCGGAAUUAUUGGGUUUAAAGGGUGCGUAGGCGGAUUGAUAAGUUAGAGGUGAAAUGUCCGAGCUCAACUCGGGAACUGCCUCUAAUACUGUUGAUCUAGAGAGUAGAUGCGGUAGGCGGAAUGUAUGGUGUAGCGGUGAAAUGCUUAGAGAUCAUACAGAACACCGAUUGCGAAGGCAGCUUACCAAUCUAUAUCUGACGUUGAGGCACGAAAGCGUGGGGAGCAAACAGG